AUUGAACGCUGGCGGCAUGCCUUACACACGCAAGUCGAACGGCAGCACGGGAGCAAUCCUGGUGGCGAGUGGCGAACGGGUGAGUAAUACAUCGGAACGUGCCCAGUUGUGGGGGAUAGCCCGGCGAAAGCCGGAUUAAUACCGCAUACGACCUACGGGUGAAAGCGGGGGAUCGCAAGACCUCGCGCUAUUGGAGCGGCCGAUGUCGGAUUAGCUAGUUGGUGGGGUAAAAGCCUACCAAGGCUACGAUCCGUAGCUGGUCUGAGAGGACGACCAGCCACACUGGGACUGAGACACGGCCCAGACUCCUACGGGAGGCAGCAGUGGGGAAUUUUUGGGACAAUGGGCGCAAGCCUGAUCCAGCCAUGCCGCGUGCGGGAAGAAGGCCUCGGUUGUAACGCUUUGUCAGGAGAACGGUUAGGGCGUAAUACCCCGAACUAACUAGACGGUACC
This 453-nucleotide ribosomal RNA is filed under the name uncultured bacterium. RNAcentral's name for it is "bacterial SSU rRNA". It matches the Rfam family "Bacterial small subunit ribosomal RNA", at positions 29 to 480 of the family's 1533-position model. The record is from RNAcentral.